GACGAACGCUGGCGGCGUGCUUAACACAUGCAAGUCGAACGGAAAGGCCCUGCUUUUGUGGGGUGCUCGAGUGGCGAACGGGUGAGUAACACGUGAGUAACCUGCCCUUGACUUUGGGAUAACUUCAGGAAACUGGGGCUAAUACCGGAUAGGAGCUCCUGCUGCAUGGUGGGGGUUGGAAAGUUUCGGCGGUUGGGGAUGGACUCGCGGCUUAUCAGCUUGUUGGUGGGGUAGUGGCUUACCAAGGCUUUGACGGGUAGCCGGCCUGAGAGGGUGACCGGACAAAUGGGGUGUGAGACAGCCCAGAGACCUAUAGGGGGGGGAGGUGUGGAAAAUAGUGCAAAAGGGGGGGACGUGUGACAGCGAAACGGCGUGUGGGGUAUGACGGUUCGCGGGUUGAAACGCGUUCUCGUGUGUGACGACGUGAGAGAGGGGGAAAGGGGUAAAGACGCACCGGAUAAACAUG
This 466-nucleotide ribosomal RNA is filed under the name uncultured bacterium. Its description in RNAcentral is "partial 16S ribosomal RNA". It matches the Rfam family "Bacterial small subunit ribosomal RNA", at positions 28 to 505 of the family's 1533-position model. The record is from RNAcentral.